This is a small nucleolar RNA of Magnolia sinica, 118 nucleotides long. RefSeq annotates it as small nucleolar RNA snoR104. NCBI's taxonomy places the organism in Eukaryota, Viridiplantae, Streptophyta, Magnoliopsida, Magnoliales, Magnoliaceae. The record is from RefSeq and is a predicted model, not a curated record. The transcript has a single exon.
GGGGAGCAUACAAAAGCUGAGAUGUUAACCCGAUACAAUCUUCCAACAGAAAAGUGGUAAUUUCCUGCUUGUGGUGCUGCAAGCAAGCUCUGCAGGUCUCAAAUUACACAACAUUUGA